CGAGGGGGGCAAGUGUUGUUCGGAAUUACUGGGCGUAAAGGGAGCGUAGGCGGAUGUUUAAGUCGGGAGUUUAAAACCGGGGCCCAACCCCGGAGCGGCUCCCGAAACUGGAUAUCUAGAAUAGGUCAGAGGCUAGUGGAAUUGGAGGUGUAGCGGUGGAAUGCGUAGAGAUCUCCAAGAACACCUAUUGCGAAGGCAGCUAGCUGGGACCAUAUUGACGCUGAGGCUCGAAAGCAUGGGGAGCAAACAGGAUUAGAUACCCUGGUAGUCCAUGCCGUAAACGAUGAACACUAGGUUUUGGGCUCGUCAACGGUCCAGAGCCGCAGCUAACGCGUUAAGUGUUCCGCCUGGGGAAUGCGGUCGCAAGACUG
This 371-nucleotide ribosomal RNA is filed under the name uncultured organism. RNAcentral's name for it is "bacterial SSU rRNA". It matches the Rfam family "Bacterial small subunit ribosomal RNA", at positions 526 to 896 of the family's 1533-position model. The record is from RNAcentral.